Molecule: ribosomal RNA, 117 nt
Filed under: Periophthalmus magnuspinnatus
Lineage: Eukaryota; Metazoa; Chordata; Actinopteri; Gobiiformes; Gobiidae
Source: RNAcentral
AUAUGUGGCCAUGCCGGCUUGUUAAAGCCUGAUCUCAUCAAAUCUCAGAAAUUAAGCAGGACCGGGCCUUGUUAGUUCAUUGAUGUGAGACUGCUGGGAACACCAGGGGCCACAGUG